AGUGAACGCUGGCGGCAGGCCUAACACAUGCAAGUCGAACGGCAGCACAGUAAGAGCUUGCUCUUACGGGUGGCGAGUGGCGGACGGGUGAGGAAUACAUCGGAAUCUACUUUUUCGUGGGGGAUAACGUAGGGAAACUUACGCUAAUACCGCAUACGACCUACGGGUGAAAGCAGGGGAUCUUCGGACCUUGCGCGAUUGAAUGAGCCGAUGUCGGAUUAGCUAGUUGGCGGGGUAAAGGCCCAGCAAGGCGACGAUCCGUAGCUGGUCUGAGAGGAUGAUCAGCCACGCUGGACCUGAGACACGGUCCAGACUCCUACGGGAGGCAGCAGUGGGGAAUAUUGGACAAUGGGCGCAAGCCUGAUCCAGCCAUACCGCGUGGGUGAAGAAGGCCUUCGGGUUGUAAAGCCCUUUUGUUGGGAAAGAAAAGCAGCAGGUUAAUACCCCGCUGUUCUGACGGUACCCAAAGAAUAAGCACCGGCUAACUUCGU
Molecule: ribosomal RNA, 491 nt
Filed under: uncultured bacterium
Lineage: Bacteria
Description: partial 16S ribosomal RNA
Rfam family: Bacterial small subunit ribosomal RNA
Source: RNAcentral